AUUCUUUGGAUACAUAGCAUAAUUUUAGUGUUUGUAUAUCUGGGGAACUUCGCCGAAAUGCUGUUAAAAUUUUUUUGGUGUAGAAGACAUGUAUGGCAAUAUUAAAUUCUUGCAUUUCUGAAUGGGAUAGGGCCAUCACCCUAUAGGUAAGGGAUAUAAGAUGUUAGUCAACUAUUAUUACGUAAGAUUGACUGUAUAGUUUGUAUCAUAAACAUGUAGGCA
Molecule: long non-coding RNA, 222 nt
Filed under: Elaeis guineensis (African oil palm)
Lineage: Eukaryota; Viridiplantae; Streptophyta; Magnoliopsida; Arecales; Arecaceae
Description: long non-coding RNA (EGUI_LNC040527)
Source: RNAcentral